RNAcentral lists this ribosomal RNA (271 nucleotides) under uncultured archaeon. Its description in RNAcentral is "partial 16S ribosomal RNA". It matches the Rfam family "Archaeal small subunit ribosomal RNA", at positions 477 to 747 of the family's 1478-position model. The record is from RNAcentral.
CAGCGCCACGAGUGGGGACCAUGGUUAUUGGGCCUAAAGCGUUCGUAGCAGGUCGUGUAAAUCUUUUGUGAAAUCGUUGGGCUUAACCUAACGGCGUGCAGGAGACACUGCAGAACUUGGGACCGGGAGGGGUUAGAAGUAUUUUUGGGGGAGCGGUAAAAUGCAGUAAUCCCAAGAGGACUACCUGUGGCGAAGGCGUCUAACCAGAACGGGUCCGACAGUGAGGAACGAAAGCCAGGGGAGCAAACCGGAUUAGAUACCCGAGUAGUCC